Molecule: long non-coding RNA, 314 nt
Filed under: Marmota monax (woodchuck)
Lineage: Eukaryota; Metazoa; Chordata; Mammalia; Rodentia; Sciuridae
Source: RNAcentral
CCACCGCAGCCCCGGUCGGCGCAAGUGCGGCGCACGCUGGGGGAGGGGGAGCGACAGAGCGCGAGGCUGGCGUCGGGCCGCCGGCUGCCGGCCGGGCGAGAUUAAGUUUCUCGGUCACGCGUGAGUGUCUGUGCGCGUUUCUCCCCGGAGCUGCUCGCCGCGCCGUUACUUCACAAGAGGAGAGAGCAGCGUGGGCGAGGCGAGGCAAGGCUCCUCUAGUCCCUGGCGACCCCAGUUCUCCAGCCCUCCGCCUCCGUCCCCGCCCGGGGCGGCCGCUGCGAGCCGGGUAAGCGGCGCCUGGCCCGGGCCCGGAG